This 882-nucleotide small RNA is filed under the name Rattus norvegicus (Norway rat). Its description in RNAcentral is "uncharacterized LOC102556220". The record is from RNAcentral. Lineage: Eukaryota; Metazoa; Chordata; Mammalia; Rodentia; Muridae.
CCCCGGGUUCCCCUGGUUGUUUUCUCACAGCCGAGGAACUGAAUCGGGCAGCUCUCCUUUGAGGAGUGGUGAGCAGUUGUGUGACACAUAUCAAGGAUCCUUGUCGUGACACAGCGAUGCCAAGGUUCGGUCCUCCAGUCUAUCACGCACUAAUCUGCUCGGGUCCCCCCUGAGUCCCAGGCAAGCAAGACACAGCCUCUCUUUGCUUCAGUUGGGACCAACGAUAACACUGUCCUCCGAGGGUCCUAGAGAGUCCCCUCACGAGACCUGGAAGAGUCUUAGGAUGUGUACGGCUGGUAAUCAGCAAUGUUCCCUUUGUUGGGCUCUCCUCUCCUUCAGCCUCAAGUGCAGAGGCUUUGAGAAACCCUAGGCCGACAAUCAUGAACUUGGGUCCUAAGGCUUGAGUAUAAAAACUCUCAUUCUGAGCAUCGUGGAGGAAAGGCCUGCUGUCUCCUCUGUCCUGUUAGAUCUACUCCUAUCUUUCACAGACAGGUUCAGCAUCCCCUCUUGAAGGCAGCUGCAUCCGGAGGAAGCCAGAAGGAGGCACAUGCCGCAUUCUAUCAGCAAGAGGACCAGAACCCUUGGACAGAGCACCAGGAAACAGUGGGAAAAGUGGAGCUAACCAGGAGAGAGAGAACCCCAGGAGCUCCCAUGGGAUGUUCACCCCUUCACAGCCUAGCAGAGCUCCUCACGCUGGUCUAGACCCCCCCCCUCUCCUCCAGGAGACACAGAAGAGCCAGAUGGAAAAGCCACUGACUAAAUUAAAACACACUAAUUGGGCAUUGGAUUUCUGCUGAAAAUGACCCCUCCCAGCGUCACUGGUGAGGUACUGUGUGGGUGUCGGAUGUACGACUAAGAGGAAAUUCUUCCACUCUGUACAAA